Non-coding RNA from Paramuricea clavata, 242 nucleotides. Lineage: Eukaryota; Metazoa; Cnidaria; Anthozoa; Malacalcyonacea; Plexauridae. The record is from the annotation of a GenBank genome assembly.
CUUAAGAUCUACAACGCGAAUUUGUGACGCGGACGUGCUUACCUAAGCCUAGUUUUCGAGUGUAAGCCUAGUCAGAGUUGUCACAGUUUAUUUCUGCGAGAUUUGUGACACUGUUAUGACACGUUAACAGCCAUACGAAAUGAUAGAAACCAGGCUUUAUAGACUAUUGUUACGAAUGCACAUUUUCCCGCCAAAACUACCAUCCGAGACGACGUGAUAUUUGCAAAGAUUCGUCGUCAUAG